This 84-nucleotide non-coding RNA is filed under the name human gut metagenome. Its description in RNAcentral is "Glycine riboswitch". It matches the Rfam family "Glycine riboswitch aptamer", at positions 9 to 86 of the family's 94-position model. From Rfam's summary of the family: This family represents the bacterial glycine riboswitch. Glycine riboswitches usually consist of two metabolite-binding aptamers domains with similar structures in tandem. The aptamers cooperatively bind glycine to regulate the expression of downstream genes. The record is from RNAcentral.
GAACUCUGGAGAAUCCCAUUCAGUUGGGUGCCGAAGGUGCAAGGCGUGCGAGCGCCGAAUCUCUCAGGCAAAAGGACGGAGCAG